UACGAAGGGGGCUAGCGUUGCUCGGGAAUCACUGGGCGUAAAGGGUGCGUAGGCGGGUCUUUAAGUCAGGGGUGAAAUCCUGGAGCUCAACUCCAGAACUGCCUUUGAUACUGAGGAUCUUGAGUUCGGGAGAGGUGAGUGGAACUGCGAGUGUAGAGGUGAAAUUCGUAGAUAUUCGCAAGAACACCAGUGGCGAAGGCGGCUCACUGGCCCGAUACUGACGGCUGAGGCAC
Molecule: ribosomal RNA, 233 nt
Filed under: uncultured bacterium
Lineage: Bacteria
Description: partial 16S ribosomal RNA
Rfam family: Bacterial small subunit ribosomal RNA
Source: RNAcentral